Long non-coding RNA from Apus apus (common swift), 1464 nucleotides. RefSeq lists it as uncharacterized. The record is from RefSeq and is a predicted model, not a curated record. The transcript is spliced from 3 exons. Lineage: Eukaryota; Metazoa; Chordata; Aves; Apodiformes; Apodidae.
GGCAGAGCCGGGCCCCGCGUGCGCUCGUUCGGUCCUUCCGGGCCCGGGGACCAGGCCUCCCAGGCUGGGCUGCCGGCAGCCGGCGCAGCACAGGCCCCCCGCAGCCUGCCGGCUGGGGCCUGGGAGCCGGCAGUCACCGCAAGCAGGUUAUGGAGCAGCUCAGGGCAGCCCAGCAGCCUGUAAAGGUCAAAUAGUCUGGAAGAUGUUAUCCACCUCACAGAAUUCAUCCACCUCAGCCCAGAGCAGACCAGCACGAGGCUGCCCUUGGGUACACCCGACUUCCGGGACUUCUAAGGACACCAGGAAAGCAGCUUGCAUGGCCAAACGUUCAGCACCUCCUGCCGGCCGACAAUCCUCAGCCUUGUCAGCAAGGAGUGGGGGAGCAGAAAUAACCACACUUCUGUAACUGUGUGCUCUCUUCUUUGCGUUACUAACCACUCUUCCAUGGAGGCAGUCCUGUACAGGAGAGAAUUGAGCUUGCAGUGAGUGAAACAUCUGUUUGCCAAACUCAGGACCACGAGCAGUAACCAUCAACCUGACUGUUUUAUGCUCCCAAAGAAGCAAGAGAAUUGGUUGUCAAGUCACCACCACAGGCCUUGAAAAUUCAUCCUAUGAACUCCUGGUUACUGUUGUUAUUGAAAAAGAGUCCAACCUGAGGGGAAGUAAACCCUGAUAUUUAAUAUUAUUUUAUAUUAUUUCAGUAAAUGGAAUCACAGAAAUAUUCAGGUUGGAAGGGACCUCUGGGGGUUAUCUGGUUUAGUAUCCUGCUCAAAGCAAGGCUAUUAUUAAAUUCAGGGUGCUUAAGGCAUUGUCCACUUGGGUCUUGAAAGCUUCUGUGGAGGGAGAUUCCACAGCCUCUCAACCUGAUGGUCCUCAGGGUGGACAGUGCUUUUUUUUUCCUUCUAUCCACUCUGAAUCUUCCUUCUUUCAAAUUAAUGAUCACCGUCUCUCCUCCCACUGUGCACUUUUUUGGUAGAAAUCCUGGCUCUGUCUUCUCAGUAGCUUCCUUGUUGGUACUGGUGGGCUGCCUCUUUUCCCAGUGCAAGAAGACCCAGUGCCCACAGCCUCUCUCAUGUGGCAAGUGCUCCAGCCCGUCACCAGCUUGAUGCUCUUGGCUGAACUCACUCCAGUUUGUCACCAAUUUCGUAUCAGUAUUGUUCUACUGGAGACCCCCAAACUGAGCAUUGUAUUCCUUUCCACCAGAGACAGGAAGUAAGCCCCCAUCCAGUAUUGUCCCACAGGGCUGGUCACUCCCAAAUGAAGGACCCUACAUUUUUCCUCAUGGAACUUUGUGAAGUUCCUGAUGGCCCGCUCCUCCAGCCUGUCAAGGUUCCUCUCAAGCACAUCAACUUAACAUCAUGUCUUUGGUGUCACAUGCACGUACUCAGAACCAGUUUAAAAAAAAAUGAUGGUCAGGUUCUGCCUUAUUUAUAUCAAAUAAUAAAAAACAGUAUAAUUAAGUUA